AGUGAACGCUGGCGGCAGGCCUAACACAUGCAAGUCGAGCGGCAGCACAGUAAGAGCUUGCUCUUACGGGUGGCGAGUGGCGGACGGGUGCGGAAUACAUCGGAAUCUACUUUUUCGUGGGGGAUAACGUAGGGAAACUUACGCUAAUACCGCAUACGACCUACGGGUGAAAGCAGGGGAUCUUCGGACCUUGCGCGAUUGAAUGAGCCGAUGUCGGAUUAGCUAGUUGGCGGGGUAAAGGCCCACCAAGGCGACGAUCCGUAGCUGGUCUGAGAGGAUGAUCAGCCACACUGGAACUGAGACACGGUCCAGACUCCUACGGGAGGCAGCAGUGGGGAAUAUUGGACAAUGGGCGCAAGCCUGAUCCAGCCAUACCGCGUGGGUGAAGAAGGCCUUCGGGUUGUAAAGCCCUUUUGUUUGGAAAGAAAAGCAGCAGGUUAAUACCCCGCUGUUCUGACGUUACCCAAAGAAUAAGCACCGGCUAACUUCGUG
RNAcentral lists this ribosomal RNA (492 nucleotides) under uncultured bacterium. Its description in RNAcentral is "partial 16S ribosomal RNA". It matches the Rfam family "Bacterial small subunit ribosomal RNA", at positions 29 to 507 of the family's 1533-position model. The record is from RNAcentral.